Carassius auratus (goldfish) is the source of this 6825-nucleotide RNA transcript. It is a transcript of the gene named shaker-related potassium channel tsha2, with no coding region annotated. The transcript has 2 exons. The record is from RefSeq and is a predicted model, not a curated record. NCBI's taxonomy places the organism in Eukaryota, Metazoa, Chordata, Actinopteri, Cypriniformes, Cyprinidae.
GAAUAUUAGACUAAUGAAAAAGCACCUGUAACAUUCUGUUUGUUGUUUAAACUAAUAAAUGUUACAACGGCUUGCCAUAUCGCUUGGAGAAAGCGAGAGAGUGAGGGAGGGCAUUGCUGCUUAAAAUGCUGUGAAUGUGACAGCCAAUCGACCAGACUGCCAGCCUCAGCUUGGGGAGGAAAUGUAGAAAAACCUCCGUGAGUAAAAUGCGCGCGAAGUGACGCGACACGCGCCGCUCCACAAGUGCCCUGACUAUCUGCCACGGACAGCGCGAGAAGCAGGGCGCGAAACCGACUCGCCCUUUUGAGGGGACAAACAUGACUGUGGUGCCCGGGGAGAACCUCGAAGAGACUGUGGCAUUGGCAGCCCUGUCCCAAGAUGUUUACGACCCUGAACGGGCAGACCAGGAGUGCUGCGAGCGGGUGGUUAUCAACAUCUCCGGCUUGCGCUUCGAAACCCAACUAAAAACACUGGCGCAGUUCCCCGCCACCUUACUCGGUGACCCCAGGAAAAGAAUGCGCUUCUUCGACCCUCUGAGGAACGAGUACUUCUUCGACAGGAACCGACCGAGCUUUGAUGCCAUCCUCUACUACUAUCAGUCUGGAGGCAGGCUGAGGAGACCCGUCAAUGUUCCCGUGGACAUCUUCAUGGAGGAGAUCAAAUUCUACGAGCUAGGAGAAGAAGUCAUUGAGAAUUUUAGGGAGGACGAGGGGUUCAUCAAGGAGGAAGAGCGACCUUUGCCCGAAAACGAGUUUCAGAGACAGGUCUGGCUGCUGUUCGAGUACCCCGAGAGCUCUGGACCCGCGAGGGGCAUCGCAAUCGUCUCGGUGCUCGUCAUCUUGAUAUCAAUUGUCAUCUUUUGCUUGGAGACUUUACCAGAGUUUAGGGAAGACGGGAAAAUGGUCGAGGAGCACCUCGCACUCAAUGGAACUGCUAGUUCAAAGAAGCCCAAUCCAUUCACAGACCCCUUCUUUAUUGUGGAGACCCUGUGUAUAAUCUGGUUCUCUUUUGAAUUGCUCGUGAGGUUCCUCGCGUGCCCAAGCAAGCCCGCCUUCUUCAAGAAUAUCAUGAACACGAUUGACAUCGUGGCUAUUAUCCCCUACUUCAUCACCUUGGGUCUGGAGUUGGCCGAGCAUCAGGGUAACGGCCAGCAGGCCAUGUCUCUGGCCAUCCUGAGGGUCAUUCGCUUGGUGCGGGUGUUCCGCAUAUUCAAGCUUUCCAGACACUCGAAGGGGCUUCAGAUCCUGGGCAAGACCCUGCAAGCGAGCAUGCGAGAGCUGGGGCUCCUCAUAUUCUUCCUUUUCAUCGGAGUUAUACUGUUCUCCAGCGCCGUGUAUUUCGCCGAGACGGACGACCCCGAAUCGGGGUUCAGCAGCAUCCCCGAUGCCUUCUGGUGGGCAGUGGUUUCCAUGACAACUGUUGGCUACGGGGACAUGUGCCCAGUCACCAUCGGGGGCAAAAUAGUGGGCUCUUUAUGUGCCAUCGCCGGUGUGCUCACCAUUGCGCUUCCAGUGCCCGUCAUCGUGUCCAAUUUCAAUUACUUCUACCACAGGGAGACCGAGCACGAGGAGCAGAUGCAGUACACGCACGUGACGUGUGGCCAGCAGCAGCCCUCGUUCGGUGAAUUUAAAAGGAGAGACAGCAAAGCGUCCCUUUCUAAAUCAGACUAUUUGGAUUCUGAGGAUGGAGAUUCAGUCAAGUACACCAACUGCAGCCCCCAUAAAGCAUACACAGGGAAGCUUACUGAUGUAUGAAUGUAGAACGCCGAGCAUUAGAAACCCAAAGAAGCGCACCUGUCUCUGUGAGUACAUCCUCAUCCUCAUCCUCAUCCCUCGCGCUGUACGUGGCUUGAGUAGAUCUGUGAGGAUUUUACUAUGACGUGAUGUGCGAUUGUUUUCGGAACUCUCUUCCAUUAACGUGACUGUAGGUCAUAGAGGCGCGAGACGUAGUUGUAUAGGCGCGAAAAAAAAGAAAAAGAAAAUUAAAUAGAACGAUUAAAUCCUCGCGUAGCACUUUAGCAGUAUACUAAACUUUGUCCACAAAUUCGUUGGCGCGUGAUCUGUUAGUUUUCCAGAAAUUUGGUGCCAGUGCGAUUCAGACGUUUACAUACUGCUCAUUUGAAAUAAAUAGUAGGACCAACGUGUAACUUUUUUUUUUUUAUGUUUUUUUUUUUAAUAGGGCAGUUCGACUGCAAGGUCAUUUUGGGAAGAAAAAAAAAACGUUUGCUACAGCUUAUUUAAAAUAUUAUUAUUGCAAUAUGUAACGUUACAUUUAGAAAUACACAUCACAGUAAAAAAAAAAAACAUAUAUUUUUUUUCUGAGGACGAUCAGUAGAAGAGCAAACCAGCUUUGUGAUAGGUAAUUUUAGGCAUUUUCAGGUUGUCACUGCAUAAGCAUUGAAAGGUUAUCUUAAAGCUACUUGAUAACAUUAUUCGUACUAUGGAGAAGCACUUCAGGGAUACAGGCUUACACUGAUAAUCAACACGAAGCUUCUUCAUUUCGUCAUGUUAUCAACAGAUGUGUAGAGGAUGAAUGAGGAGAGGCUCGAUUUCAACAGCGUGCGCUCAAAUCUGGACACGAGUUCUUCUUCAAAUACACUAGCGUUAUCUAGUGGACAACGGUGGAAACUGCAGUCUUUAAACAUAGGCUACUACAUGUGUCUCCAUAGCAACUUUCCAGACGGUUCUGGUGACAUUGGGCUAUUAUUGUUCCCUAAAUCUAUUCACAUGGAAGACGGCUUCUGGUGCUUUUAUUUUAAAACUAGGUACUUUCAUAUAUUCAGUUAAGGAAAAAUCAUCAACCCUCAGGUAGGCAGGUUUACAUUCUCAUCAGGUCUAGUUAAACUAUGAGUCCACAUCCAUAAUAAUGGAGAGACAUCUUCAUUUCUGCACUGCAACAGCGUGGAGAGGGCAUCAUGAAUUCAGCACAAAAUCGGAUUCAUUAUGACGUCACUGUGAGAAAGGAAAGUCUCUGUCUAUUGGCUGGACUAGGAGACUCAACGCCAGCAAUGUCAGUAAUGGACUAACUGAAAAUGGAAACAACUAAACAGAUUUCCGGACACACCACAUCAAGUUUUUUUUUUUUUAAAUUUUUUUUUUUAAAUUUUUUUUUUAUUGGAUUUUCACAUUAGCAGGAAGAGUUCAGACAGGAAGAGGUACAGUCAUGAAACUGGACUUCCUGUCCUUCAGAUCUGCAUACCGUAUACAUGCAGCAGAGUAUCAUCAAGGACAAUAUGAACCUUCACCAGAGCAGCAGAACAUGGGAUAAAACAAACUUCAUUUAAACCACAUUCACUUGUUCCUAUCAAAGGAAUUAUGCACAAUGUCUCAAAAGGAAUCAUAUUGCCAAAUGGGGAAUCUAACCAUGAGGAGAUAGGACAAUGUGGUGAAGAUGAAGAAGAUGAGGUAGAAACUAUUUACUUGAAAUCACAGAGUACAUGCACAAACAAUUUGUGAGAUGCAUCUUGAUGUUUAUGUGCCCUUAAAACAACAACAUGCUACUGGGACAGGUGUGACUAUGUACACGUGAAUAUUCGUCUUCAGACCAGCAGUAUGUCACAUUUAAACAUUACAGAUCAUGUGCUAUACCAAAACAUGUUAGGGAUUGCAUGGAAAGUUGGGAAAGGAAUAAAUCUUGAUUAUUAUGUUAAUUUAAUUUCUUUUUUUUUUUCAACAAACUCAGUAGUCAUUUUAAGUGGGAACAACUAUCAAUGACAACAAAUUACUUGACUGUUGAGGUUAACAUUGUUAAAUAUCUAUUUUUUUAAAGUAUCAUAGGUUUUAUAUAAAAAUGGAAUCGGUUAAACUGGUGAAAGGUUAUUUUUCUAGCUUUUUAAAAUUUUGCUAAAUCAUUUUACAUUAUCUUUCUUUCUUUGUUUCAAGGAAAUGUGUAUACAUUGAUUUCCUCCUGUAAUACUUUAUGCAGUAUAAAUAUUGAAAUGCAAAGGUUGCUGCAAGUUUGUGUCUUUAUUUCUUUUAUGAUUAUUGAUAUAGUUUCAUAAUCACUCAUCAGCGAAAGCAUCUACCUCAGUGUCCUGAUUGGCUGUUUUACUGUGUGUUUACCUCACUGUGUUGAGUUAUGUCAAACUGUUCACAAGCCUUAUUUAUGGAAACAGCUUAAGCAUACAGCAUGUGACGUUUCCCCACAUUAUUGUUGGAUGUAUGUUGUCCUGACUUUGUCCAUUCUGGUUUUGGGCAAUCAUUCAAUACAAAAAGUCAUUACAAUAAUGUAAACCUGGCAAGUAAAAACUCAUUCCAACAUUCCCCACUAUGGUACCCGGUAGGUGACAUGGUCGGUUCACAUAGUUUUGUCGUGGGAACGCGAUAAUAUGUCGUGGCCACAAGGUAUUAAUUUAUGGGAAUGCCAUGUUAACUCAUGGGUAACAACAUCUUUAUGUCGCGGCCUCAAGAUAUUAUGUUGAGGGAACAACAUGCAUUUCUCAAUGCCGCAACUUCUUAAUUGAGGGAUCGACAUAUUUUUCGCGUGGCAGCGAGUUUAUUAUUAUCAGAGAUUAUCAGAGAUGGAUUAAUUAAUAUUUUAUAUUGAAUAAAGAAAUUAUAUUACUUAUUAUAGAAAUCAUUACAUUAUUAAAUAAUAAUAUUAACCAUAGGCCUUGGCUACUGGUGCUGUAUUACAUAUGAUAGUCAGCAUUCAAAUUAAGUUUAUCAUAAAUAAAUGUUAUGUAAAGUGCAUAUUAUAAAAUUGGCCUAAAAUUAUUAUUUUUUAAUCCAUCCUACAGUCUUGUAAGUCCAUUAACUGACCAUAUUUCUCCAAUAAUAUUUGUGUAUUUACUAUUAUUAGCCUAUUAUAAUUGGUUGUAUUUUUAUAUUCGUUUAUAUUCAUUUUCCCCCUUUUUUCAAUCUUUACUUAACGUUCUGCGUACUUUUGUAAAUAAUAGCUUACUGUAAAUGCUCGACAUGCCAGUAAAGCUUUGAUUAUGCUGACUGGAAUUUUUGCUGGAAUGCAGUUUAAAUUGAACAUAUAUUUCAUUUUAUUUCUGCUAAAUAGACAAUAAUUAUAAAUACUGUAGUGUUUUGUUGAGGAUUUAAUCAUUCAUGUAGUUUAUCAUCACACAUGGGCAUCAAUACAAUCAUAAAUUCUAAACUAUAUUGGCAUAACAGUUAGACGUUUAUUUGCAAAAUAUAAGGUAGGGUAGCAAAUACUACCAUAAUUAGCAUAUACAACAAUAAAUAUAAACAUAUAGCUCUAAGUUAAUGUAAUAUAAUAUAAAAAUAUUAAAUUAAAUCUUAAUGUUAAUUAAUUUUUAUACAUUUUUUAUAAUUCCGGGUUGCUAUGGACACACAGGUUUAUUUACACAUUAAACUUGUGGCCCUCAACAUAGCAUCAAGAGGUCACGACAUAAGGAUGUCAUUAACUCGACAACAUGACGUUCCCACGAGUUAUUAUGUCAUGGCCACAACAACACUAAGUGAACCUAACACGCCACCUCCCGGGCACCAUACCGUUAGAAUAAAUAAGAGAUUGAAAUGUAUUUUCCCUGCUUUCUAAUUAUAGAGAUAUAUAGGCCUAAGAAUUGAAAUCUAUAAAUAGAUUUUAUAGGCUAAGAUGUGGGAAAUUGCAAUGAGUUUAUAUGCUAAUGAUGAUACUUAAGAGAUGAUUGUACGACAGUAGAUUUUCCUAGAUGAAAUGAAUAUAUUAUAUAUAAUGUUCCUAUUUAAAUAAAUAAUUAUUUUGUUAAGGUUUGUUCAUAAGCAUACAUGUAUCCAAUUAAAUUCCUGAAAUUCGGACUUCACAUGCAUACUGUAUGAAUAUCUGCAUCAUGUCCAAUGAAUGUCAAGCAUCCAGUUAAUCAUUUUGUCGUCUCUGUGUAUCAAAAACACUCUGCUGCUUUGAGGUCUUCCAUGUGAAAGCAAGAUGCUUCAUAAUAAUUUCUUCACAUUGCCAUUAUGUUCACUCUUUCAGUUCAUUUACAAACUAGUUUUGAUAAAUAAACAUGUAUCACCUGUUCUCUUCAUCUAAAUUGGACAUUACCACUGUUUAAAAAUAGGAUGGACAGAGCAGUUUUGGCUGACAUUGAUUCAUAUAAAUGAACAGUUUAUUUCAAUGAAUUAAAUCACUGAUUCAUUUGAGUCAUCACUCAAAGUUAAAAAAAUGUAAGUUUUGUUGCAGGCCUACCAUACAGUUUUUAACGUUCGCAUUAAACGUUUGCAGUACAGUGAUACAGUCGUAUUUUUCAAUGACAUUACAGAAAUUGUGUCGAAUAUUGCAGGAGCACAGACCCAGAGCAAUUCAUUUAUGAAUUAUUAAUCAUUAUGCUUGGUCCAUCAUUUCAUAUUUGGCACAGACACAGUGUGUUAAUAUGAUCAAGUCAAUAUAAAUUGCAGGGCUUUAGUCAUGUGUUUUCAAAUGGUUUUCAUGUUGGCUGCUGCCCCAUCAUUAGACCUGAUAUGAGCUGUGAUACAAACAUUUACUUACACAUUUGAGUAAUCAAUAGUAUGAAUGUAUCACGCAAAACAAGAAAAGUUUUUAUUAUUAAACUAAUGAUCUACAUGAAAGACUGCAGGGUAGGGGACGGCAGAAACAACUUUCACAAAUAAACCAAAGGGUCACUUAUUCCACAUACAUUUAGAAAAAUCUGCUGUGACCAUUUGUAUUAUUAUUUUUUUUUCCAAUUGAUUUCUUUGGACAUAAAAUAUUUUAUGAAGUUUUGAUGACUUCAAAGCAGGCCAAGUUGUUGACUGAGCUAAAGUGAAUGAAUUCAAACUGGUAGUAACCAGAUGGGAUUUUGUUACAGCUGUGAGUUUAAUACAACCCAGCGCUAAGUAAAAUAUGGACAAACCCAACAACUGGGAAGUUUUGACCCAG